ACCAACUGUACCAACUGUAACAAUCACUGUGUGCGCGCGCGCGCGUGCGCGUUAGCGUGUCGCUGGGCCACAGGGAAGAACGCGGCUGGUUUCACCCCUGGAAAAAAGAGAAGAAAAAGAAGCCCAGCUCAUCCCUCCAAUAGGAGCUCCUGUUAUCGGCAUCUUAAAGAGGCAGCUCCUCUCUCUCUCUCUCCGUCACGAGCUGUGUCAGAACUUGUGUAACCUCCAUCUCAACUUGGCAGAGUGAAGAGCGGCACCCGUUGCCAGCUCGGUCACAUAGGUGGAGUUAUUAUAAAAAGAUCUUCUCGAUGGGAACAGCCCACUUCUUGCACCUGGAGAAGAGGGAAGAUGGAUGAGUUAAAGGGCCAAAUAUGACUGAGCAGCAUCCAUAAGCAUCAUUCACAUAUGGGAAAUUCCACGAGGACGACCAGACAGUGAGUCAGAUGUCAUAUCUAAAAACUAUUCCGCUCAUGUGCGCUGCACCAAUGUUGUCCGGACUCGAUUUGUGAAAGUUGCUUGUUGUCAAUAUUCAUCCGCCAUGUAUUACAGCUGUAUAAUAUCUUCUAUAAUCCCAAGUGUUAAGAUGAACUUGAGGUAAACAUUUAAUUCACUAAUAUGACAUGGCCCUGGCGUUGACUUUUUUCUAACAACAUACAUUUUGACUCGCCCAAGCAGGAAAAGCACAGGUCAAACAGCUUUCAUCAUCGAUGGCUCACUUCUGUUGCCGAGUGUCGCCGUUACAGUGAGCCAGCUUGCUCCCCUAAAUGGAAUGCACUCCUUAUUUAAGUUAUUGAUUACAACUGUGCCUUUCCUGUUAUGACAUGCCACAAUGUCUGCUGGGAGGAAAGUCUAUUGUGUUGCACUGCGACGGCUUUCUGGCAUACUUGGAUAGAACACAGCCAUCGUUGAUGUUAUUAGAUAAAAACCUGAGACAUCAUAGCUGUAUUCUAGGAUUAUGCACCAUGUCAUAGACUUAAAACGGAGAAAUUAAUCUAGAUUGCAAUAAAUCCGGUGUGAUCAUUUAAAAAAUUUUAAGACAAGGCCUGGGCUACAAAUUUGGAUUGAGUCUGGAAUGAAGCUGACAAACAAUAAAAUCCUUACAAUCACACUAA
This is a long non-coding RNA of Scophthalmus maximus (turbot), 1112 nucleotides long. RefSeq lists it as uncharacterized. NCBI's taxonomy places the organism in Eukaryota, Metazoa, Chordata, Actinopteri, Pleuronectiformes, Scophthalmidae. The transcript has 4 exons. The record is from RefSeq and is a predicted model, not a curated record.